This is a non-coding RNA of Schistosoma margrebowiei, 45 nucleotides long. Lineage: Eukaryota; Metazoa; Platyhelminthes; Trematoda; Strigeidida; Schistosomatidae. The record is from Rfam.
AUCCAGUUGGCGAGUCCCGAACAGUACGAAACACGCGUCCUGGAU